This 2167-nucleotide long non-coding RNA is filed under the name Homo sapiens (human). RNAcentral's name for it is "long non-coding RNA NONHSAT172566.1". The record is from RNAcentral. Lineage: Eukaryota; Metazoa; Chordata; Mammalia; Primates; Hominidae.
ACUCACUCCUUGUCAGCUGCACCUGGUCUCUCCCUCCCCCUCUUUCCUUACCCUGCUUUCCACUCUGUUCACCUUCCUGGCUCUCUCUCUCCUCUGGCCCUGGCAUCUCUCAAGCCUUUCUCCUUGCAUCCGUGUCUCCUUCCUGCCUCCCUUCCCCUCUAGCUCUUUCCCCCUCUCACCCCAGCCCCUUUCUGACCUGUGCCCAGGGGACGGACACAUAGACACUGCCUGCGCGUGGGCCUCCUCCCUUCUCCCUCCCGUCAGAGCUGCCAGCUCCACUCACCAGGUAUCCUGGCCGCAUUGAGGAUGGCUGAGGGCAAGAGAAGGAAACGGUUAGGCCGGUUCCCGUCCAGCCUGCCUUCCGGGGACCAGGACCGGCUCCUCGAGGGAGGCACAGACCUGAGCCCCUCGGCUCUGGACGCUGCUGCCGCUGGUGUGCCCUCCCCUGACCUCCUGCGGCAGGAACAACACAAAACGGUGCUUCCCCAGAGGCAAGCAGCGGAGGACGAGGAGAUGGGAGAACACGGAGGCGAGAGGGAGCAGGCGAUGGCGACGCCGACGGUAACUGGAGACCGAGGCGCGCUGCGUACUUGCUGCGUUUUCUGUUUCAUCCUCACAGCCGUAGAAGAAACCGAGGCACAGAGCAGUUAAGGAGCAAGAGAUAAACAGAGCAGAAGCGGAAAGGAGAUGAGAGAGGGCCCCAGGCCCCUGUGACUCAGCCCAGAGACCUGGCGCAACCCGGGCUUGGGAAUCCCGUUAACCCACUUCCCGAAAGCUGUGAAUCAGGUAAGGAAACUGAGGCAGCUUAGGGCGGUUAAGUGACUUGCCCGAGAUUGCUGGGUGAGUGGUGGAGCCGGACCUGCACCCCAACACUGGGGGUGGCUGCUGGGACUGCCCUCAUGGAGGCUUCGGGAGCCUGGAGGAGGUGCCUCACCCUGCCUGGGGUUUCCUCUCCAUUCCAGCUUUUCUGCCUUUCUGAAGAGCCAGCUCACUGCCCUGGAUACCCAAGGGUAGCCAUGGGCCCUGCCCAAGAUGCCGCUAUCCCUGAGACAGGGUGGCCAGGAAGAGAGCCCCGAGGAGAAGGACCUGGUAGGAGCAGGGGGAAGCCCUGAGGAGCUGGGUGAAGAUUUCCUGGCACAAGUCCUGGGGAAGGGCCCCAGACAGCAGUUCCUCAAUUCCCAGGGUAUAGAGGGUGGAGUCUCUGAAAGGCCACGGGGUGGAGACCCUGGCAUGAUUCAACAUUCACUCAACAAAAUAUUUAUUGAGCGCCUGCCAAUGCUAGACCCACAUGCUGGCCAGCAUCCCUGCCUGUGCAAGCUCUGGAUGAGCUGUGUGCCCCUGCCACCCACACCCCCACUCCCUGCCAGCCUGGCCUCAGGGCCUCUGAUCCAUGUGCACUGGAGUGGUGAUGACUGACAGGGCCACUGGGGCAUUUCCAUGUUAACAGCAGCUGCCACUGGCAAAAGAAGUGACUCGCCAAUGGUGGCAUCUCAGAUGUGGGCCCAGGAGUCUGGGGAGCUACUUUGAACAGGGCUAUCCAUUCAUUGUCCCACCAAAGGCUAUGGAGCCCACCCACCAUGUGCUGGAGUAGUCAAGGGAAAUAAGACACUCUCCUUGUCCUUGUUAACUCAAUCAACAAGCAUUUGCAGAGCACCGCCUGUAUGCCGGCGCUGUCCGAAGUGCUGAAGAUACAGCAAUGAGCAAACCAAAAGCCAUGGACAUCGGAUGAAACAGAGAAUUGUAAACAAUAAGUACAUCAUUUAGCUCUAUGGAAAACAGGAUAGAGAUUUCUCAAAGAACUAAAACUAGAACUACCAUUCAACCAGCAAUCCCACCACUGGGCAUCCACCCAAAGGAAAAGAAGUCAUUUAAUCAAAGAGACACCUGCACUCGUGUGUUCAUCGCAGCAACACUGUUCACAACAGCAAAGCCAUGAAAUCAACCUAAGUGUCCAUCAACAGAUGAUGGAUAAAGAAAAUGUGGUGAAUAUAUACACAGUGGGAUACUACGAAGCCAUAAAAAAGAACACAAAACCAUGUCUUUUGCAGCAAUGUGGAUGGAACUGGAGGCCAUUAUCUUAAGCGGAACAAGUCAAACACAGAAAGACAAAGAUUGCAUGUUCUUAUUUAUUUAUUUACUGAGAUGGAGUCUCACUGUGUCACCAGGC